UUGUGUUAGUUCGCUAAACACAAUUAUACUAAAAUCUGGAACGAUACAGAGAAAGAUUAGGCAUGGCCCCUCUGCGCAAGGGAUGACGACGCAAAAUUCGUGAAGCGUUCCUCAUUUGC
This 119-nucleotide small nuclear RNA is filed under the name Neogobius melanostomus (round goby). The record is from RNAcentral. Lineage: Eukaryota; Metazoa; Chordata; Actinopteri; Gobiiformes; Gobiidae.